AAUAGUUUUUACAAAAUGGACCAACCCAUCAGAAAUUCUUCUACCCUAAUAAAAUUAGAAAAUAAACAAACAAAGUAGGCCCAUUCUGACCCAUGUCCAAAUCUGUGACCCGACCCAUCUUUGUUUAUUACAUAAGCUAGCUGAGAUAGGGUUUUUGUUUCCUAUUCUUAACUCUAUCCGCCGCAGCAUUGCACACCUGAAAAUGUUGUCUUCUUCGAUGUUUAACCUCAUCUUCAUCUUGAAGUUGAUUUGGGUUAUCAACAUUGUGCCAUGGAUCUAAUGUAGAAUAGCUACAAUUUCAACUAUCAGAAUUGUGCUCUCCGAUUAUUAGGAAUAUCUAGUAUAUUUGGUGCUUUAUUGAUGGGUUUGAACCCCUGAAAGAACAUAGACAUACAGCUAUUGCCGGGAGGGAGAUAACAAGAUGCUCAAACCGGCAAGUAGCUGGAAUGUAUGUAUCUCUGCAGGUGUAUGAUUGGCAAAUCUAGUAAAAACCCUCCCUUACACUACGAGUCCUUUUUGCUGGCUGUAUUAGAAUAGGCUAUGUAUGUAUGUAUAACUUUGAUGAACCUGUAGUUUUAUAAAUACUUGCUUGUGCUCAAGUUAAGCUGUAGCCUGUUCAGCCUUGUCACCCUUUGGAUGAUGAAACUCUUAUGUAGUAUGGACAUUGCAUCUUAUUACUAUUUAGAAUUCUCUUGCCUGUA
Molecule: long non-coding RNA, 701 nt
Organism: Capsicum annuum
Lineage: Eukaryota; Viridiplantae; Streptophyta; Magnoliopsida; Solanales; Solanaceae
Exons: 3
Source: RefSeq, a predicted model, not a curated record